CGGAUGAAGGGAGCUUGCUCCUGGAUUCAGCGGCGGACGGGUGAGUAAUGCCUAGGAAUCUGCCUGGUAGUGGGGGAUAACGUCCGGAAACGGGCGCUAAUACCGCAUACGUCCUGAGGGAGAAAGUGGGGGAUCUUCGGACCUCACGCUAUCAGAUGAGCCUAGGUCGGAUUAGCUAGUUGGUGGGGUAAAGGCCUACCAAGGCGACGAUCCGUAACUGGUCUGAGAGGAUGAUCAGUCACACUGGAACUGAGACACGGUCCAGACUCCUACGGGAGGCAGCAGUGGGGAAUAUUGGACAAUGGGCGAAAGCCUGAUCCAGCCAUGCCGCGUGUGUGAAGAAGGUCUUCGGAUUGUAAAGCACUUUAAGUUGGGAGGAAGGGCAGUAAGUUAAUACCUUGCUGUUUUGACGUUACCAACAGAAUAAGCACCGGCUAACU
Molecule: ribosomal RNA, 440 nt
Filed under: Escherichia coli O157:H7
Lineage: Bacteria; Pseudomonadati; Pseudomonadota; Gammaproteobacteria; Enterobacterales; Enterobacteriaceae
Description: bacterial SSU rRNA
Rfam family: Bacterial small subunit ribosomal RNA
Source: RNAcentral